GAUGAACGCUGGCGGCGUGCCUAAUACAUGCAAGUCGAGCGAACGGACGAGAAGCUUGCUUCUCUGAUGUUAGCGGCGGACGGGUGAGUAACACGUGGAUAACCUACCUAUAGGACUGGGAUAACUUCGGGAAACCGGAGCUAAUACCGGAUAAUAUUUUGAACCGCAUGGUUCAAAAGUGAAAGACGGUCUUGCUGUCACUUAUAGAUGGAUCCGCGCUGCAUUAGCUAGUUGGUAAGGUAACGGCUUACCAAGGCAACGAUGCAUAGCCGACCUGAGAGGGUGAUCGGCCACACUGGAACUGAGACACGGUCCAGACUCCUACGGGAGGCAGCAGUAGGGAAUCUUCCGCAAUGGGCGAAAGCCUGACGGAGCAACGCCGCGUGAGUGAUGAAGGUCUUCGGAUCGCAAAACUCUGUUAUUAGGGAAGAACAUAUGUGUAAGUAACUGUGCACAUCUUGACGGUACCUAAUCAGAAAGCCACGGCUAACUACGUGCCAGCAGCCGCGGUAAUACGUAGGUGGCAAGCGUUAUCCGGAAUUAUUGGGCGUAAAGCGCGCGUAGGCGGUUUUUUAAGUCUGAUGUGAAAGCCCACGGCUCAACCGUGGAGGGUCAUUGGAAACUGGAAAACUUGAGUGCAGAAGAGGAAAGUGGAAUUCCAUGUGUAGCGGUGAAAUGCGCAGAGAUAUGGAGGAACACCAGUGGCGAAGGCGACUUUCUGGUCUGUAACUGACGCUGAUGUGCGAAAGCGUGGGGAUCAAACAGGAUUAGAUACCCUGGUAGUCCACGCCGUAAACGAUGAGUGCUAAGUGUUAGGGGGUUUCCGCCCCUUAGUGCUGCAGCUAACGCAUUAAGCACUCCGCCUGGGGAGUACGACCGCAAGGUUGAAACUCAAAGGAAUUGACGGGGACCCGCACAAGCGGUGGAGCAUGUGGUUUAAUUCGAAGCAACGCGAAGAACCUUACCAAAUCUUGACAUCCUUUGACAACUCUAGAGAUAGAGCCUUCCCCUUCGGGGGACAAAGUGACAGGUGGUGCAUGGUUGUCGUCAGCUCGUGUCGUGAGAUGUUGGGUUAAGUCCCGCAACGAGCGCAACCCUUAAGCUUAGUUGCCAUCAUUAAGUUGGGCACUCUAAGUUGACUGCCGGUGACAAACCGGAGGAAGGUGGGGAUGACGUCAAAUCAUCAUGCCCCUUAUGACUUGGGCUACACACGUGCUACAAUGGACAAUACAAAGGGCAGCGAAACCGCGAGGUCAAGCAAAUCCCAUAAAGUUGUUCUCAGUUCGGAUUGUAGUCUGCAACUCGACUACAUGAAGCUGGAAUCGCUAGUAAUCGUAGAUCAGCAUGCUACGGUGAAUACGUUCCCGGGUCU
RNAcentral lists this ribosomal RNA (1372 nucleotides) under uncultured bacterium. RNAcentral describes it as "bacterial SSU rRNA". It matches the Rfam family "Bacterial small subunit ribosomal RNA", at positions 28 to 1381 of the family's 1533-position model. The record is from RNAcentral.